AGGCCCAGACACAUCUAGAGAGGAAAGGUUUAACACCAGGAAGGAAGGCCCAGACACAUCUAGAGAGGAAAGGUUUAACACCAGGAAGGCCCAGACACAUCUAGAGAGGAAAGGUUUAACACCAGGAAGGCCCAGACACAUCUAGAGAGGAAAGGUUUAACACCAGGAAGGCCCAGACACAUCUAGAGAGGAAAGGUUUAACGCCAGGAAGGCCCAGACACAUCUAGAGAGGAAAGGUUUAACGCCAGGAAGGCCCAGACACAUCUAGAGAGGAAAGGUUUAACGCCAGGAAGGCCCAGACACA
Long non-coding RNA from Oncorhynchus keta (chum salmon), 304 nucleotides. RefSeq lists it as uncharacterized. The record is from RefSeq and is a predicted model, not a curated record. NCBI's taxonomy places the organism in Eukaryota, Metazoa, Chordata, Actinopteri, Salmoniformes, Salmonidae. The transcript is spliced from 3 exons.